AGAGAGAGACAUGCGCGCAUAUCAAUAAGCGGAGGAAAAGAAACUAACAAGGAUUCCCUUAGUAACGGCGAGUGAAGCGGGAAGAGCUCAAAUUUGAAAUCUUCAAGGUUUUACCUUGACGAAUUGUAGUUUAAAGAAGUGUUUUCUGCUGAAGUUUUGGUAAAAGUUCUUUGGAAUAGGACAUCAUAGAGGGUGAGAAUCCCGUAUUUGACCAUUAUUUUCAGCUUUGUGAUACACUUUCAAAGAGUCGGAUUGUUUGGGAAUGCAGUCCAAAAUGGGUGGUAAAUUUCAUCUAAAGCUAAAUAUUGGCGAGAGACCGAUAGCGAACAAGUACCGUGAGGGAAAGAUGAAAAGAACUUUGAAAAGAGAGUUAAACAGUACGUGAAAUUGUCAAAAGGGAAGCGUGUGACACCAGUGUUGUUUUCUCGAAAAUCAAUUAAAAAUGGCUCGAUUUUGUAUUGCUUGAGACCUUAAAAGCUCACUGUACAUUUUUCGUGUCUUUUUUAAUGCACUUUUCGUUUAACAAGUCAACAUCAGUUUCUUUUGCUGUAAAAGGGUCAUUGGAAGGUGGCUUUCUUUUCGGAGAAAGUGUUUAUAGCCUUUGGCCUCUGCAAUCGAAGAGACUGAGGUCUGCAGCGUAGAUCCUUCGGGGUUAGAUACAUUUGUGCUAAGUUAUAGCUUUUUAUAGACAACUUGUUGACUAUAAUUAGUCUUGUAGCUUACUCGCUUAUGCUAUUUUACCUACGCUUAGGAUGUUGAGUCGUAGAGCACGCAG
RNAcentral lists this ribosomal RNA (775 nucleotides) under uncultured Neocallimastigales. RNAcentral describes it as "partial large subunit ribosomal RNA". It matches the Rfam family "Eukaryotic large subunit ribosomal RNA", at positions 23 to 626 of the family's 3401-position model. Lineage: Eukaryota; Fungi; Neocallimastigomycota; Neocallimastigomycetes; Neocallimastigales. The record is from RNAcentral.